Molecule: long non-coding RNA, 1451 nt
Filed under: Vitis vinifera (wine grape)
Lineage: Eukaryota; Viridiplantae; Streptophyta; Magnoliopsida; Vitales; Vitaceae
Description: long non-coding RNA (VVIN_LNC001630)
Source: RNAcentral
AGAAUUCUCAUAAACUACAAUAUCCUAACAUUACUCAAAACAACAAGGUUUAAUGAAUAUUCAUUAUAGUCCAAAAAUAAAAGUUCACAAUUAGACAACUUAAUCAAAAUAAAGUUUCAUUACAAAUCCAUAAUUCAUAAUUACUAAAACAAAUCCAAAAAUCCAAAAAACACAAUAAAAAAAAUGUCACACUCCACUAGGCCACUCCAGGAGCAUUUUGAAGUCCUCCCUGCCCUACCUGUAGAUCCUCAGGAGUGAUAUCUGCAUCUAAAAAGAUGUAAAAAGGAAGGGGUGAGCAUUUCCACAUUGCUCAGUAGGGUGCCUAACACCCAAGGGGUUAAGGGGAUUACUAAGUUCCAAAGAAUACAAAAAGAACAUUUCAACACAACAGAAACAUUUCAACAGUAUCAAUCAAACCACAUAGUUUAAUAUCUAAUAUUAUACACAAUUCCACACAUUCAACAAUUAAAUGAAUGCACAUGAAUGUGUGACACACAAUCAUACAAUGCACUAUUAUUCUCGGGCUUUCACCGAAGGAUACGCGUCCGCACCCAAAUACACUCCCUAUUCGGAGUCUUCCCGGGGUAAACUUUUGGGUCUUUCACCCUAGGGAUCUCUCUCCCUUCUUAAUUUGCCUCACACGGACUUUCACUUUUCAUCACUAUUUCAUUUUUUUCCAUUUCAUACACUUUUCACAAUUUUCAUAAUUUCUUCACACAACCAUGAUGCAAAUAAAUGCCACAAUUCCAAAGUUCCUCAAUAAUUUCAACAAUUUCAACAUUCCCCAAUAAUCCAAUAAAAUAAAUUUUCCACAUUAAAAUUUCCGAAAAUAUCCCAAAUAAAUAUUCAAAAAUUUGCAUAUCAAUAAACUUGAAAAUAUACCACACUUACGGACAUUUUCAACCAUUCUAAUAAUUUCUAAUAUUCGAAAUUAACUAAUUUUCCACCAUAAAAAUUCCGAAAAUAUUCCAACCAAUGCCCAAAAAUUCACAUAUCACUAGAUUUGAAAUUAAACCCUAAUUUCAUAAUUUUCCAACACUUCUAAUAAUUUUUAACAAUUCAAAACAAUUAAUUAUCAACCAAAAACAAAUUCCCGAAAUUACAAAAAUUCCAAACAAAUUCCAAAUAAUACAGGAAAAUUUCAUACAACACCCAUAUUACCUAUUUAACUCAUAAUGAUAAGAUUUACAAAUUUUUUUUAAAGGAAGACGCAUUAAAUUUAAGUUUUAGGGUUAGGUUCCCCUACCACAGAUCUAAUAAUUCAAUCGUUAAAAACACGAUCGGCCACCGUAGGAUUGUUCCUCUCGUCGAGUAGAGCACCUCCUUAAAAUUUGAGCCGAAAUGGAGGUCGUUUGGCCACCCAAAUGGUCAGUCAAAGUUCUGGCGAGAUGCAACUUCUCCACAGUGCCGUCGCUGCUCCUUUUCUCACCCAUUCUGCCACUGUUUAAUUG